This 37534-nucleotide long non-coding RNA is filed under the name Panax ginseng (ginseng). RNAcentral's name for it is "long non-coding RNA (PGIN_LNC006700)". Lineage: Eukaryota; Viridiplantae; Streptophyta; Magnoliopsida; Apiales; Araliaceae. The record is from RNAcentral.
ACAUGGCCUUAGCCAUAUAACAGUCGAAUUGAGGGAAAAGGAAGGAACGCUAUAACAGUUAGGGCAAUUUCAGAAAAAAGGAAAGAAGAAAGAGCAGGAGCUGGCAGAGAAGGAGUACAUCUCGACAAAGAUGAAGCAGGAGGUGGCGAUUCGGGGGUGGAAGCCGUGCGCUCCAAUAGGCUUAGGGACCAAGAAAUUUUCGUGGAAGGCAAGGUGCUCUGCCUAUAAAACUCGGUCUCUCCUCCCUUCUUCUUCCUUACUGCCGAGCCCAGUCUUCUUCUUCUUCUCCCCUCACCGUCCGGUCAAACCACCUUACCCUUUUGCCGAAAUUAUCUAACAUUUGCCCUGUUCUUUCCGGCCGAAUCCAAGCUACCUAGUCUAUACCAAGUGUGAAUUUGAUUAGCAAGCAGAUAAAAAGGUAUAACAAUCAAAUCUUUUCUAUUUCAGUUAAAUAAGAUCAAUUAGUGAAUUGAUCUUUCCCACUUGGGUUUGGGGUCUUUCCCACUUAACCAAUUCACUAAUUAGUGAAUUCACUUCAACUCAAAAGCUCGGGAGUUUAAAUAUUGCUUUACUGACUACAAGUGGUUAAGUAUAAAAAACCCCAAACUCAGAUGGUGAUAUGAAAUUUACUCUUUUUUUUAAUUCGUAAAAACAGUUAGGAUUGGUAAGUUUAUCAGAGUUAUAAUUUUGGUUAAUGAAGUUAAGAUUGUUAGUUUUGAACAGAUAUCAAUUAAUUGAGUCAUUUACUGUGAUUGAAUAAUGAAGUUAAAUUUGUUGCUAAAACAGUUAAUUGUUAUCAAACUGGGAUAAUGAAAACCAUUCAUGAUUGUGGUACUGUGGUUGGAAACUGACAUGAAAUUUUAACUGGAAAACAGAUAACAGUAUGUGGCUGAGCAUUGGCAUACAUCAAUUAUGUAUGUUUUGUUAAUAUAUGGAGUUAGAAAGUUUCAUGUAUAUAUUUUUUUGCAAAUGAGUAAGGUUGGUAAGUUGGGUUAGUCUUAAAAGUCAGUUUGUAUGUAUAUAAUUUUGAAAAUCAGUUGGUGUAUUAUAUUAGGAUCAUGCCCAUAUUAUAUGUUGGAGUUAUGAUUGAUUGUGAUAGAAGACUUUCAUGCUCCAUAUAUUAAAGUUUGCAAGUUGGAGUUUUUGAAAUCAAUUAGUUUACUAAAUAGUUGGUUAUAUAUAUAUGAAUUGAUAGUGCAAAUGGUUGCUAUGGACCAGAAAUAGAGCAUAGGGGAUAGGUUUGGUUGUGAGGAGAUAUAAGGAGGUUAAAAUGGGAUUAUAGCACAAACAAAUGGCUAUGGUACAAAGGUUUCAAAACAACGCACACAUAGUGCUUGACAAAAUUACUUAAAUGGACUGUUUUGAUUAAAAACCAAGUAUUAGGUAAAACUAAGGCUUGGGCUAGAUCUAUGUAUGUUAUAUGAUGAUAAGUAAAGAGUUUGGGCGUACUAAGUUAGAACGAAAAACAAUUUUAAGUGAAAAUGGAAAAUCAAAAGUUAAUAUAUUGAGCUUAAUAUUUUAAAAUAGUAGUUUUAUACGUUAUGUUUAUCAUGUUCAAAAAGGGAUGUAAUCCAAGAUAGGAGUUAGAAAUUUAAAUUGAUCAAAUUUACAUUGCUGUGCUGUAGCAGCAAUGGGCUGUAGCAGCACGCUGCAGGGUAGCAUGUGGGGGCCUCCUUUGCGCUCUCAAAUGAUGUGUUAUUUACCCAAAAUGUAUGGUUGUUAUUUUAUAUAAUUGGCAGGUAUACCACCUAUAUAAUACCCAAAAUUCAGUGUAAAUGGGCUAAUAUAUUGCAAGUUAUAAAUUAGUGAAAUAAGAAGGUUAGAAAAGAAGCUGCUGCCCAAUUGCAGCAGCGAGUAGCAAUCAUCAGUAGCAGCUUUGGCUGUGUUGAUGAGCCAUUUUGACUUUAUAAUUUAAUUGAUAGUUACCCAUAAGGUUUAGGUUAUAUUUUCCUAUAUAGACAAGUACACGAGUUAUAAAGUAUUUAAAAUUCCAAAUAAUUUAAUUAGUAAUCUUCAAGAUAAAAGCUAUCAAAGGAGGGCAUCUAACUUUGGGGCUGUUAAGCUAACUUUGGGGCAGUUAAGAUAAGUAAGGGGCUGUUAUGCUUCAAGGAACUGUUUUGACAUCAUUUUGAGUCGCGAUAGUAUUUAACGCGAUAGUUUUUUAAAAUGAAUCUAUAAAUUAUUACGGAAGAUAUAAUUUACUCAUACAAGUUAUAAUGACACUCAAAAUGUAAAAUACGCUUUAAACACACUUUAUAUAUUCGAGUUAUAUAAAAGAAGUAUGGAAUAUACAUGUAUUAAGUUUCGAGUGAGUUAUAAACUGAAAUUAUGAUGUAUUCGCAUACUAAAAUCAUGUCGAAGUUUAUUAAAGCGAAAAAUGAUGAUUGCAAGUAAAAGGAUGAAGUAUUUGAAAAACAAAAUAUAUGUAAAAGUUUUUCAAAAGCUAAAACACAAGCUAAUGGUGUGGCCAAUAUAAACAUUUAAUAUAUAACUAUACAAGUUAUAUGACAUGGUUACAUGGCUAAUAUGUUUAUAUAUGUAAAUGUGAUUGUAUAGGAUCCGUGAAAGAAAGUUAAGCUGAACUUUAUUACAAUAGUCAACAAACGAGGCAAGUAUCUUAACCUUUUCAUUUGCUUUAUGCAAUGGAUCUUUGUAAGCAAAUAUUAUAUCUAUAACUUCCCAAAUUCUGUACAAGCAAGUUCUUGAACUUUAUUCAAUCUAAUUACAAGUAUCUCAAUAUUGUUCUCAUAUGAUUCAUAUAUAAUCAAAAUUGUUCUAUUCUUUGUGUAUUGAGUUUGGUUAUGCAAGUGUCCUCACUUGUAUAACCAAACUCUCGGGGUUGGAACUGGAUCUCUCGGGGUUAUUUCCGGGUUUGGAACUGAAUCUCCCGGGGUUAUCUCCGGUGUUGGAACUGGUUUAACUUCCAGGGUUUCUGCCCUCCUGUAAGGUUAGUAACAGGAAUGCAAAAUUUCGAAUGUCUACAAAUGUACAUAAACAAUCAACAACAUAUACAGGUUGUAUUGAAUUACAAAUCCACCGAACAAGCCAAUGAAAACAACAGAUAUGAAUAAAACUAAACCUAAAAAGAAUGUACAGCUAAGCCUAAUCACAGCUGAACAUGAUUACUGUAGAAGACUACAAAAGUUCAUAUUCAAUUUAGUUAUAAGAAAAAGAGAAUUUAUUAAACUUUAGCUCUACCCAAAUGUGGAUAAAAUGACGCUAAACACAAAUUGUUCACGUUUCUAGGUAAUGAUCGAAUAAAUCAGAGCUGGAACAAAUGACAAUUCUAAACAGAUAUUCGUUUCUGGCCAACACAAAAUAAACAUAUAGAGAUCCAUACAAAUAUAUAUAUUGAUAUUGAAAGAGAAUUACAAGCACAUCAUGUUUCUACAAAACACAAACAUAGGAUAACACAAGUAACAAAGAGUAUUACCAUAAGCCACAAGUCUAAAACAGUACAUAACGUUAACUAAAAGGGGAUUAGAACAAACAACAAUCGAAACCCCCCUCAGCAAUACUCAUCAAUCAGAUACAUACUUAUAGAAGAAAAUCCAACUUAAGAAAAACAAAUGAGAUUGAGUUGCACACCAUUUUCUAGGGCACAAAAGUUUGAAAAAAGCUAGCAAAUACAAAAGAACCCCUGCAAUCAGAAGAAAGUUGGUAAGAGAAUGAAUUGGAUUUGCAAUUAUAUACGGAAAACACAAGAAAUAUAUAUUUGGGGAAUAACGAAUCGAUUGUGAAAACAAUUAAUUGAUUGAGGUUUAAAACUAAGCAUCCAGCCCUCAAACAAAAUAACCUAGCCAACCACGAAAAGAACUUGUGAAGAAAUCUAGUCCGUUUCUCAUAAGAAAUCAAGUAAAACCACAAAUUAGAUAUGUACCUAGUGAGGCUAAUUGAUUCCAUUGAACCAAACAUUUCAAGAUAUGUAUAGGUAUUUUGACUUAUUGGAUGCACCAAGAAUUUCUCUCCAAGUUUCCACCAUCUGAUUCAUGGUCUCCCUCACUACCUUUACUUGUUCGGUCACCAAAGCAUCAAUUAAUGGUUUAGCAAUCGAUGUGAGUUGGGUUACGAAAUUGAGCUAAUGGCGGUGACGCAGGUGAAGCGGACUGCCGAAUCGGGGUCACAGAGGCGGCAGAUUAUAGAGGAGAGGAGUUUGGAGAGCUAGAUUAGGGAUGACAGAGGAGAGGCCUUCUUUGUUUUUCUUAAAAGCCUCCAUAUUUCAUUUGUCAAAACCUCCGUGUUUUUUCAAGUUAUAUAUACUCGUUUUCUCGUAGAAAAUGUUAUGCCAAAAAAACACAACUUUUUUUUUAUAAAAACGUUGUUGUUUAAGUGUCAUCUUUUUACUGAUUUGUAGUAGUGGCCCUGCUGCUUCAUUUAGUUCCGUACAUGACUGUUUCUAACAACAAAACAGAGCUAAAAAUGUGCUCAUGUUUCAUUUUCUUUAACAUAUGACAACACAAGAACCAUUAGUUAAUUAACAUCAAAUUAAGAUGCUGCUACCAUCAAGUCAAAAAUAAUAACAAUAACACAAAAAUAACAACAAUAACACAAAAAGAGCAAAAUGCUCUGUUGUUUCAUUUCCUUUAAUCCAUAAACACAGCCAUACAUGAUUUACAAUCAUCCACUCUUAGACAACUCUGAAUUCACAACACAAAUAACGAAACAAAAAGUGUUUCCCCAAUGUUGUUCUACAUUAUUAUUACUAAAACAUACAGAAAAAUGAACUAUGAACAAAUUAAAUUAUCCACAUUUUCUUGAGUUUUUCAGCUGAUUGAACAUUUUUCAUGAUCAACUCUUUUACCAUUUUUAACUCACUUCCAUCUUCAAUCAAGCUACGUUUUUGUACUUCUUCAUUAGCAGCUAUGAGCUCAUCCCUCAAUUUUUUGAUAACUUCACUUGAUCUUUCAGUGAAUCCACUUGAAAAAUCCACAAUACCUAUUUUUAUCCUUGUCAACAAAACAAUAAAACAAUAUUUGUGAGGGAAAAUUAGCUAAAACCAACGAAUCUGGUGAGGAAAAAUUAGCUACAACCAAAUAAAUUCAAGAGGAAAAAUAUCUUGCUCAUUGACUUACCUUGUAUCUGUAACAUCUAACAAAUCUUCUACCUGGAUCUAGAGUUCCUUCUUUCAUAGCUUCCCACAUAGGUGCAACGAUUCCACAACGACAAACGAUUGGAGAAGAAAACGAGGACUCGCACUCAGAAUCUGAAGAUUUACUCACCGAUUUCCUUUUGUAAGAAGUGUCCACUCCACUUGAGGUAGUCAUCUCAAGAAACGCAACAAUGAAUUAUUAGUAUCAAUUGAUUUUUUGUUCGACUGAAUGCAAGAACAACCAUAAACCUUAAUUUUACUCCCUUCUGAACCUAUUCGUUAUUUAUCUGGAAUGAUUUGGUGGGGUGGAUCGGAUCUUUGUUGGGUAGGUUAGUUUUCCAUGGGCGGGUUAUAGCUUAGGUGUUAAAAUCAAUUACAGGUAGGCUCCAGUUAGGAUUAAGUGGGACCCUUCAUUUUACACGUCACUUUCCCGUUCAAUUAAUUGACGUCUGUUACAAAAAUUCAAAUAUUCAAAUUUUUGUUAGUAAAAAGUAGUUCAGUAAGUUGACUGUAAGAAAAAAAAAGUUUAAUGACUCAUUUGUAAGUUGACGUAAAUUUAAUGACUUAGAAAGUAUUUAACCCGUAUCAAGAAAAUACAUGAGACAGAUAGUACCAGAUAAUAUUAAUAUAUGGGAUUCAUAUAUAUAUAUAUAUAUAUAUAUAUAUAUUCAACUAAGAUUUUCUCUUGCGUAAUAUUUUUUAAAAUCUUUUACAAAUGGAUACGGAUAGAUACAAAUAUUUGUAAGAAUUUCUCGUGAAUAUUUUUAUUAUUUUUUUAGUCUCAAUUGUUGCUUAUUAUUUGAACGGUUCAAGAUGGUAAACUCGAAAAUGACUCACAACAACAGGCGUUGGUUGUUGAUUAUGACACACACAUACCAUAUAACUUACUGACGUUAAAGACUUUUAUAACAAUAAAAAAAAAUCAAAAUUGAGGUAAAAAUAAUAAUUAUACUAAUAAUUAUUAUUAGUACUAUUAUUAUAAUUAUUAUAAUAAUAAUUAUUAUUAGUACUAUUAUUUAUUAUUAUUAUUAUUAUUAUUAUUAUUGUUAUUAAUAACAAUAAUAAUAAUAAUAAUCAAAUACGGAUAAAGUACUUUGCCAAGUAGCAAAUAUUUGUUUAGAUGCUAAAUUUUGAACAUCUUUUUUAAAUAUCUGUUUUGCAGUUGAACAAUCAACUCAGAUUAAAAAGUGUUGAAACUUUUCCAAACAAAAAUUAGAUUUCUUGGACAUAAUAUUUUCAAUGGAACUAUUAUUCCAAUUGACAGAUAUUGAAUUUGCAUCUAAAUUUUCGGAUGAAAUCAAAGAUAUAAUUAUUAUUAUCAUUAUUGUUAUUAUUAUUUAAUUUGGGCGGGAAUUUUUAGGGGUGAAUUUGAUUUGGGCGGAAAUUUGUAGUGUGAGAUGAAAUGUGAGCAUUUAGUUUAAGUUAGAAGAAUUGAGAUAAAUCUGAACUGUCUUUGUGCUUAGUCAAAUAAAAAAAAUCAAAAUAGAUUUUGUUUUAUUAUAUAUAUAUAUAUAUAUAUAUAUAUAUAUAUAUAUAUAUAUAUAUAUAUAUAUAAAGAGAACUCUAAUUAUUUUGUUUAUAAAUAAUAGUUAUAAAUAUAAUCUUUUUUGUUAUCAUCAAAAUUAGAGUGAAGUUGAAAAUAAUCCAACAAAUACUACAUAAUACGCUUUCACAUCACCAUAUUUAACCAUUUUUUUAUAUUAUUAUUAUUAUUAACAAAAAAUAUAACAAACAAAUGAGCCAAAUACCUUCAAGACAGUGAAAAGUUUGUUGCCAAAACACAUCAUAAACUUAAAAAUCGAGUUCAAAAAAGAAUGCACCGAUUAAACUGCAAUAUUUUUAUGUAAUGCAUAUCUAUAUGCAAGUUGUACAAUAUUUGCAUAGAGUAGAAGUACACGUAACAUAUUUUACUCAGUUUAUAAACAGUUAAUUAGGACAUCUAUUCCAUAAAAUCGCAAGAGAAAAAUAAAACUGACAACUUAAGUUGUUUGUACUACUAAACCCUAACUGCAUGUACCGUCAAGCCAUGCAAGAACAAAUAUACUAAACACUAAUUAUUAUUAUUUUUGAAUUGUUUUAGACCGCACCCAAAGUAACUUCAUGGGCUGCCUACGUCCCUCCCUUACUACAAUUAUAUACAUCAACCUAACAAAAGGAAGGAUCAGGUCUACGUAGUUCUUUAAAACAAUAGUAAAACUAGCACAUGCAUGCAAUAUCAGUUUACAUGCAUUAAAUGGAUCAACAAAAAGUAAAACAAAAGAACACUAAACUAAAUUAAGCCUAUUGUUUUGCCUCCUUGCAGGUCUCUCAAAACCAACUCCAGUUGCAUCUGCUAAUAAAAAGGGUAUUGCGGCAUCAGGGAUAUCUUCAAGAAAACAAAAUUCUUCCGGCUGUUUUCCUUUCAAUUUCACAAUUUGAUCUGCACAAUGAUUCCCUUCUCUCAAGGUGUGAAGGAUCACGCACUCAAACUCCUUCAUAAUCCUUCGACCAUCUUUUAUCAUGUCCUUCUGAGGAUGAUUUUGUUCGAGUUUCAAUCUUGAAAAAAUGUCCAAUGCCCCUACACAGUCGGUCUCGAUAAACACCUUGAACCCCAUAUCUUUAAUUAAUAGCAGACCCUUGUAUAUGCCACAUAUCUCCGCCACAAGACUGCUGGUUUUUGUGCCGGGUAUUUUCCUCAUAUAAUCAUAAACCCACUUUCUCGAAUCGUCCCUAAUCACUCUGCCACAACUCGAUGAUCCGCGGAAACAACUAUCAUCCGUGUUUAGUUUUAAAUAUCCACAGGAGGAAAAUUUCAAUGUAUUUUGUGUAUGGAUUUUUGUGGGUGAUGAAGAUAUGAUGGAGAAGAAACUAAAUAGGUUGGCUGAGGAUGAAAGUAUGAGAGAGGAAAAACUUCCAUGGUUAGUUUGAUAGUGAAGAAAAGAAAAGCUUUGUUAUCUGGCGGCUACUAGGUCAGAUUUUUUUUUUUUGCCUAAUUUACACUCUCUUAAGAAGCGUUUUUUUUAUAGUUGUAAGAAUAGGUCGAAAAAUAUUUUUUAUACCUCAAAUUUGAUUUUUUUUUAUUGUUAUAAAAGUCUUUAACGCAUAUUAGUAAGUUAUAUGGUAUGUGCGUGUCAUAAUCAACAACCAACGCCUGUUAUUGUGUGUCGUUUUCGAGUGUACCAUCUUGGACUGUUCAAAUAAUAAGCAACAAUUGAGACUAAAAUAAUAUAUAUACAAAUAUUUGCAAGAACUUCUUGUGAGUAUUUUUAUUAUUUUUUGUCUCAAUUGUUGCUUAUUAUUUGAACGGUCCAAGAUGGUACACUCGAAAACGACUCACAACAGCAUACGUUGGUUGUUGAUUAUGACACGCACAUACCAGAUAACUUACUGAUAUGCGUUAAAGACUUUUAUAACAAUAAAAAAAAUCAAAAUUGAGGUAUAAAAAAUAUUUUCCGACCUAUUCCUACAACUAUAAAAAAAAUACGCUUCUUAAGAGUGUAAAUUAGGCAAAAAUAAAUAAAUUCCGACCUAGUAGCCGCCAGAUAACAAAGCAUUUCUUUCUUCACUAUCAAACUAACCAUGGAAGUUUUUCCUCUCUCAUACUUUCAUCCUCAGCCAACCUACUUAGUUUCUUCUCCAUCAUAUCUUCAUCACCCACAAAAAUCCAUACACAAAAUACAUUGGAAUUUUUCUCAUGGGGAUAUUUAAAACUAAACACGGAUGGUAGUUGUUUCUGCGGAUCAGCGAGUUUUGGCGGAGUGAUUAGGGACGAUUCGGGAACGUGGGUUUAUGGUUAUAUGGGGAAAAUACCCGGCACAAAGACCACCAGUCUUGUGGCGGAGAUAUGAGGCAUAUACAAGGGUAUGUUAUUAAUUAAAGAUGUGGGGUUCAAGAAGGUGUUUCUCGAGACCGACUGUGCAGGGGCAUUGGACAUUUUUUCAAGAUUGAAACUCAAACAAAAUCAUAAGGACAUGAUAGAAGAUGGCCGAAGGAUUAUGAAGUAGUUUGAGUGCGUGAUCCUUCACACCUUGAGAGAAGGGAAUCAUUGUGCAGAUCAAAUUGCGAAAUUGGGAGGAAGACAGCCGGAAGAAUUUUGUUUUCUUGAAGAUAUCCCUGAUGCCGCAAUCCCCUUUUCAUUGGCAGAUGGAACUGGAGUUGGUUUUGAGAGACCUGCAAAGAGACAAAACAAUAGGCUUAAUUUAGUUUAGUGUUCUUUUGUUUUAUUUUUUGUUGAUCCAUUUGAUGCAUGUAAACUGAUAUUGCAUGCAUGUGCUAGUUUUACUAUUGUUGUAAAGAACUACGUAGAUCUGAUCCUUCUUUUUGUUAGGUUGGUUUAUAUAAUUGUAAUAAGGGAGGUACAUAGGCAGCCCAUGAAGUUACUUUAAGUGCGGUCUAAAACAAUUCAAAAAUAAUAAUAAUUAGGGUUUAGUAUAUUUGUUCUUGCAUUGCUUGACGGUACAUGCAGUUAGAGUUUAGUAGUACAAACAACUUAAGUUGUUAGUUUUAUUCUUCUCUUGUGAUUUUAUAGAAUAGAUGAUGUACUAAUUAACUAUUUAUAAACUGAGUAAGAUGUGUUACUUGUACUUCUACUCCAUGCAAAUAUUUUACAGUUUGCAUAUAGAUAUGCAUUACAUAAAAAUAUUACAGUUUAAUCAGUGCAUUCUUUUUUGGACUCAAUUUUUAAGUUUAUGAUGUGUUUUGGCAACAAACUUUUCAUUGUCAAAGGUAUUUGACUCAUUUGUUUGUUAUAUUUUUUGUUAAUAAUAAUAUAGAAAAAUUUGGUGAAUUAUGGUGAUGUGAAAGCCUAUGAUGUAGUAUUUGUUGGGGUUAUUUUUAACUUCACCCUAAUUUUGAUGAUAACAAAAAAGAUUAUAUUUAUAACUAUUAUUUAUAAAUAAAAUAAUUAGAGUUCUCUUUAUAUAUAUAUAUAUAUAUAUAUAUAUAUAUAUAUAUAUAUAUAUAUAAUAAAACAAAACCCAUUUUGAAUCUUUCAUUUAACAAAACUCAAGGACGGUUCAGAUCAAUUAUUCCAACUUAAUCUAAAGGCUGGCUCACAUUUCAUCUCGCUACAAAUUCCUGUCCAAAUCAAAUUCACCCCUAAAAAUUUUCGCCCAAAUCAAAUAACAAUAAUGAUAAUAAUAAUAAUAACAAUAAUAAUAAUAAUAAUUAUUAUAAUAAAAUUCAGAAAUUGAGCGAGGAACACCCAGACUCGUUAUCAAUUAUAAACCGCUUAAUGAAGUCCUUCAAUGGAUAAGAUAUCCGAUUCCUAAUAAAAAGUCAAAUACGGAUAAAGUGCUUUGCCAAGUAACAAAUAUCUGUUUAGAUGCUAAAUUUUGAACAUCUUUUUUAAAUAUCUGUUUUGCAGCUGAACAAUCAACUUAGAUUAAAAAGUGCUGAUUUAAAAGAUCAUCCUGAAAUUUUAAAACGCAUUUAACAAUUGAAAGACAUUCUUUCUUUAUUGUAGGAUAAUUUAAAGAAGGUCGUUUCCAGACUCUUGAAGUGAAACGAUUAAGAUUCUCUUUUUUUCUUUUUAGGAUUGAAUUGUUUUAGGAUUCCACCAUAUCCUGUAUUAGAAGCAUCAGUUUGAACGAUCUUCUUCCAUUUACGAUUAGGUAGAGCUAAACAAGGUAGCUGUUUGACCUUAGUUUUAAUAUUUUUAACUGCUUCAGUAUGCUCAGUAGUCCAAGGCGAAGGAUUUUUUCGGAGUCGAGUAUACAUUAUGGAAGCAUCCUGGGAAAGAUUCAGAUAAUAUUCUCGAAUGUAAUUUAUGCUUCCUAGAAAUCUUUGCAGUUGAUUAAUAUCUUUGAUUUCAUCCGGAAAUUUAGAUGCAAAUUCAAUACAUCUGUCAAUUGGAAUAAUAGUUCCAUUGGAAAUAUUAUGUCCAAGAAAUCUGAUUCCUUUACGCAUGUAUUCUACUAUCAGAAUCCUAUUCAUAACCAUACUUGGUUCAUCCGUAUAUGUCCCGAUGUUCUUAAAAAUGAAAUCCCAAGCUGAUUUUUCGUUUGGUGGGAUAAAUUCGGUAUUACUAUUGAAACUUUACCAGAAUCAGUCCAAACAAAAUUUAAGGAGUGGCAAGUUACUUAUGCCCAUAUACUAGUAAACAAAGAUUUAUCUAUGCUUAAAUUACUUGCUCAUUAUAUAAUCCGUUUUGGAAUCCCCUGGAUUUGGAAAUGAGAUUUUCAAUGUGACUAUCAGAAUAAGAUCCCCCGCCUUAAAAUGGUAUUUUUUUUCUAAAUGGUGGGAUAAAGGGCUCAAUCCUACAUUACCAGAACUUCUUAAGGCCAUUAAGAAUCAUACUCAGGCCUGCUUGGAUACUAUGCCUAAGAGCCUUCUAGCUCAACCAGUAAAUCCAUUUGUCAAAAUACAAACAGAUUUAAAACAGAAGUUUCCGGAUUUAACUGAAACUGAAUUGAUUGUUAAGACUAUGGAUUAUAUGAAAUAUCAAUACUUACAAUCCUUAGUCAAGGAUGAUAGUUCCAUGAAAAUUAUUAGCAGUAAUGAAGGAUCUGACCAGGAUGACAAUGAGUUUAACGUCUUAGCUGGAGAAAACCAAUAACCGGAACCCACUAUGGGAGCUUUUUGGGAUUCUCUCACCUCCAUGAUUUUCGAAAAGAUGGAGCAAGACAAAAAAGGAAAAGGAAAAGGAAAAGGAAAAGAAAAAGCUUAAAGAUAUUCUCCACUACAGAAAAGAUGCUCAAUAAUCAGAAGACGACAACCAACUGUCUCCAAUUAUCAGAAGAUGACACCAGCUGUCCUCAAUAAUUCUCCACUCAACCGACAAUCUGUCUCUUGCCAUCCCACUUCCUAUAGCUGAGAUUUAAAGAAGAAAGAUAAGGAUUGACACACGACUCCACUAACUAGGACACGCUCAGUCCUUACCUUAUCUCUUUACUUGUAUAAAUUGAGAGCAUUCACUCAUUGUUGAGGCAGAACUUUCUUUACAUUUUCUUUCUGUAUUCUCUCUCUCUAUCUUCCCUGUAAACUAUUUAAUAUAUAAAAGUUUAAAGUUCGAAGAUAUCUUCAAAGCUCAUCUGUAAGUUUUAAUUAUUACUUCUGUUAAUUAUUAUAUUUCUUUGCUUGAUCUUUUAGAUUAUCAUAUAGAAAAUAGUAAUCGUUAUAGAACAACCUAUCAGACUACUACAGAAAACUCGUUCUUAUUUGUUAGAACAGCUUAAUAAAUCAGAACAAUUAAUUGUUUUAAUUAAGAACGUCAUACAAGAAGAAACUUAUCGACUUAUAGUUUUGGGCAGACCCCCUAAUCAACAGUAAUCUUAUGAUAUCAUAUAUGUGAUAAUUUAUAUUUUAGUAUGUAUUUAACAUGCCUUUAAAAUAUUCAUGCCAUAUUAAAUAGGGUAUUGGGUUAAUGCUUGAUCAAGUGGAACGUCACUCAAGUCGCGUUUAGGACUUUGCCUUUAGCCUUGUUUUGCAUUGUGGCUUUUAUCCUUUGUAAAUCGUUGACAGACGUGCUUGAUCAGUCCUAUCCCCGAUACUGUCCUUAUUUGGUAUCAGCGCCAUGUUUAGUUUAUUGUCAUAUUGCUGAAUAUAUUACUUAUAAAUUAUGUAUAUAUGAUCAACUAUAAAAAUGACUCAUUUUCACCUUCAUCUGUUACAACUGUAGCUAAUGCCUCACCUUCUACUUUGGAAGCAACUGAACUUAUUGCCUAUCAGGAUGUUAAGGAAGCCCUUGAUAAAUGGACCAUUCCUAAAAUCAAACCAGAAACAAUUUAUAAAAUUGGAAUUUUGAUUUUAUCAGUAAAAGGAUUAUUAAAACCUUUGAACAUGUUGUUCCUUUACAGAAUAAUGAUGAAAUUUUAUAUUUAUUGCAUGUUGAAGAUUUAUACCCUUUUUUGCAAAAAUAUAAAUAUGUUCAUAUAAGACUUGUCCAAGUUGCUUUCAAACCGUUAACUUUACUUGGUCAAAAUAUCAGUAUUCAAUGCACACUUAGAGAUGGAAGGUGUUUAAACUGGAAAGCCUCUCUUAUGGGUGCUAUUGAAACCAGCCUUGCUCAUGGACCAAUAUAUUUUAAUAUUUAUCCGAAUUUAAGUGUUGCCUUAACUGAUAAUAAUUUGUCAAAAGUUUUAGAAAUGAGAAUUAUAUCUCAUGGUUAUGAAUAUCUACCUGGAUCUCCUCCUUUUGUCAUAUUAUUCCGUAUUCAUCUUAAAGUUUUGACUAUUUUAAACCCUUAUAUCCGAAAACAAAGCCAACAAGGACAUACUGUCCUUAUUGACACUAAGUUUUUUAGUAGUCAAGUGGCUAUUCCCAGAAUGAUCCAUUGGGAAGAAAUUACUUUUCUGAAACAGUGGCAGAUUACUAAUGUCGUUCUUACCAGACCUAUAAUUAGACAAUCUAUUGAGGAUGUUGUCCAAACGAGUAAUGGAAAUGUUUAUUUAAAAUUUCAGAGACCUUUUACCCGAAGUCGAUCUAUUAACAAUAUCUCUUAUAAUAUUGAUUUUCUGAAUCAUCUUGACAGUCUGUGUCUGAAUAGAAUCUAUUUAUCAAGAGUCUAAAAAAUUCAGUAAUGAGUUUGUUAAAAAUGAAGACUUAAUAAAAGGAAUACAUAUUUCUGAAAAUCAAAUACCUCAUGGUAUUUAUGAAACAAAUAUUCCUCAAAACAGAAGACUUAAUAGUCCAACUGCCAGUGACAUGCAUUUUGAGUGUUAAAUGGAUUUUUCUCCUAGUAGUAAAAUUCGUCAAUGUUUAAACCAAGAAUUUAUGCAAGAUAAAUACCAGAAUUUUAGAAAUUGGUAUUUUAAAAAUCAUGAUAAUGAUAAAUUAGCAUAAAUAAAAGCUAAUUAUUAUGCUUAUUUAAAUAACAAUCAGUGUAUAAUAUCAUUCACUGAAUGAUAUUAUAAUUUUGUUUUAAAAUCAGAAUUUUACACAGAAAGUCAACUGAAUGUGUUAACCGGUAUUCAAAAGGAUUGGAUUACCACAAGUGGUAAUAUUAUUCAAUCCAUUCAUCCCCUCCUAAGUCCCUUGAACUUAUUCUUGGAAUGAAAAUUUAAAACCUUUAAUUAUCAAUCCGUAUGUUGAUAUAUCUGAAAUACCCCCAUCAACAUGAAGAGGUAAAAAUAAAAGAUAUUUUGCCUUUAUCUAAACAAAAUAAUUAUACUAAUCUAUUCCUUCAAACAGUAGGAAAACAGUUAACCAGAAUAGAAAAACAAAUUAAUCAUAUUAAUGAUAAAUGUCAAGUUGUUCCUCAAAAGAUUGAUCUCCAACAUGUAACCAUUAAACCACCUUUAGAAGUUAGUAAUUUUAAGAUGAAAUCUUCUAAAGCUGAUGAUGAGUUUAUUGAUAAUCUUUUAAAUAAAAUAAAAGAUUUAAAAACUACAACUGCUUCUACCUCACAGAUAAAUAUGAUGUUUGGGCAACACUCUUCACAUACCAGUAAUAAUAAUACUGAUGAUGAAGAUGAAACUGAUAAUAUUUCUCAUGUUCAUAUUUUGGAAAUACAAAAUAAUUUUCAGGAGAUGCAACAUAUUAAUAAAACCACUUACAGUCAAAACUAAUAAAUCUAAUGGCUUUAUCUGGACCUAGUAGGUAUUAUUACCCCAGACCUACUCUCCAGGAUAUUCUGUAUGAAGAAGAUUUUCUUCAUUCUCAGAAAUCUUACCAUGGUAAAACCAUUUCAGAUAUUUCAUAUGACCAAUAUUCUUAUGGUCAUCUUAUUUCAAUAAUUAUUGAAGAAGGAUUAUCAUUAUGCAAUGAUAUGAAGCUUCAACAAUUAAUGAAAAAAUAGAAUCUCACCAAAAGAAAUGAGAUACGAGAAUUUUGUGAUCAAUUCUCUUAAGACACAAAAUUACAAUAUCCUCAAAAAGGCUAAAAAAACAACAGAAUUCUAAAAACUCUAAAUCUUACCGAAGACGUUCUUCUAAAAAAUCUUCUAAUAACAAAACCCUUGAAAAAUCUACUAAGAAGAAAAAGACCAAUAGUAAAAAGGAUAAAUCGAAAAUAAAAUGUUAUAAAUGUGGUAAAACAGGACACUUUGCUAAUAAAUGCAAAUCAAAGAUAAAAUAGAAACUUAAUGAAAUGUCCCUUGAUCAACAACAAAUUCUAAAUUGUUUAUCUAGCAGUGAUCCAGAACCAAAUUCAGAUGAUGAUUUAGCAAAAAUCUAUUCUGAAUCUGGCAAUGAUUUUGGUGAUGAACAAUGUAAAACCUGUACAAUGAAUAAUUGUAAUACAAUUACUGAAGCUGACUAUUGGAAAGCUAUCGUCGAAAUGAAUGGUUUAGGUAUUGGAGGACCCAGUAUCAAUGUCUUAACUGACACUCAGAAAUCACUCCUCGACUUAGCCGAUCAAAUUAAAGAUCCAAAAAUUAAAUUAAAUUUUUUGGAAAUCUGUUAUAAGAAUUAAAAAACUGAAGAUAUACUUCCCAUUGAUCAAUAUAGCAUGAGGGAAGUUAUGAAACGUAUGCAAAAUGUUUCUAUCGCUGAAAACCCCACUACUAUUCAAGAUCUUAAAAUUGAAAUAAAUAUUUGAGAAUCUGAAAUAAAACAGUUACAAAAUACUAAUGUUAUCAUCUUUCAGGAUUUAAAUAAGAUUAAACAUUAGCUAAAUCAUAAGCAAAAUGAUAAACCUGAAACUUUUGAUAAACCAGAAUCCUCUAAACAAUAUUUGAUGCUUAUGAAUCAAGUAGUUUUUAAGAAGUGGUAUAUAUUAGAAUUACUUUUAUUAUUAAACCGGAUUUUAUGACUAAAGAUGUCAUUGCUCUAGUAGAAAGUGGUGCUGACAUGAACUGUAUUCAGGAAGAAUUAAUUUCUACCAAAUACUUUCAGAAAACCACUCAAUCUUCAACUAGUGCGAGUGGUAAUACCACGAGUAUUAAAUAUAAAAUUCCUGAAACUUUAAUCUGUAAUCAAGGUUUAUGCUUACCUACUUCUUUUGUUCUUAUACAUAAUAUGAAUCAAAGUAUCAUCUUAGGCACCCCUUUUUUGUGUCUUCUAAUGCCUAUUUCAAAAAUUGAUACUUUGGUAUUCAUACUACUCUUAACAACAUGCAUAUUGUAUUUGAAUUUAUAACAGAACCUUAUACAAAAGAAUUAAAUCAAGUUAAACACAUGAUUUAUUCUAAAGAAAAACAUAUUAAUUUUAUUCAAAAAGAAAUAAAAUUUCUUACUACAGAACAUAGAAUUUUACAGCCUUCUUUACAGGAGAAAAUAAGAUUAAUUCACAAGACUCUUCAAGCUGAAAUCUGUAGUGAUGUCCCUAAUGCAUUCUGGAAUAGGAAGAAGCAUAUUAUCUUUCUUCUUUAUAUCACAAAUUUCAACGAUAAAAAUAUUCCUACUAAAUCUCGUCCUAGUCAGAUGAAGAAGGAAUAUUUAAUUCUUUGUAAAACUAAAAUCGAGUCUCUUAAACAGAAAAAAUUAAUAAAACCUAGCACAUCUCCCUGGAGUUGUACAACAUUUUAUGUUAAUAAAAAUUCAGAUAUUGAGCGAGGAACAUCCAGACUCGUUAUCAAUUAUAAACCGCUUAAUGAAGUCCUUCAAUGGAUAAGAUAUCCGAUCCCUAAUAAAAAGGAUCUUCUUGACAGGCUUCAUGAUGCCACCAUUUUUUCUAAAUUUGAUAUAAAAUCAGGAUUAUGGCAAAUCCAAAUUAAAGAACAUGAUACUUAUAAAACUGUUUUUACAGUACCUUUUGGCCAUUAUGAAUGGAAUGUUCUUCCAUUUGGAGUAAAAAAUGGAUCUUCUGAAUUCCAGCAUAUCAUGAAUGAUAUUUUUAAUCCUUUUAUUGAAUUUAUUAACUGCUAUAUUGAUGUCUUAAUUUUCUCUUCAUCUAAUGACCAACAUAUUAAACAUUUAAAUAUUUUUUAAAAUGUUAUCAUAAAAAAUGGUUUGGUAAUUUCUGCCCCUAAAAUGAAAUUUUUUCAAACAAAAAUCAGAUUUUUUGGACAUAAUAUUUCCAAUGGAACUAUUAUUCCAAUUGACAGAUGUACUGAAUUUGCAUCUAAAUUUUCGGAUGAAAUCAAACAUAUUAAGUAACUACAAAAAUUUCUAGGAAGCCUAAAUUACAUUCGAGAAUAUUAUCUGAAUCUUUCUUAGAAUGCUUCCAUACUGUAUACUCAGCUUCGAAAAAUCCUUAGCCUUGGAUUACUGAGCAUACUGAAGCAGUUAAAAAGAUUAAAAUCAGGGUCAAACAGCUACCUUGUUUAGCUCUACUUAAUCAUGAUUGGAAGAAGAUCGUUCAAAUUGAUGCUUCUAAUACAGGAUAUGGUGGAAUCCUAAAACAAUUCAAUUUUUAAAAGAAAAAAGAAGAUCUUAUUUGUUUCACUUUAGGAGUCUGGAAAGGACAUUCUUUAAAUUAUCCUACAAUAAAGAAAGAAUGUAUUUCAAUUGUUAAAUGCGUUUUAAAAUUUCAGGAUAAUCUUUUAAAUCAACAAUUUUUAAUUCAAGUUGAUUGUUCAGCUACAAAACAGAUAUUUAAAAAAGAUGUUCAAAAUUUAGCAUCUAAACAGAUAUUUGCUACUUGGCAAAGUACUUUAUCCGUAUUUGACUUUGAUAUUGAAUAUAUUAAAGGAAACCAGAAUUCUUUACCGGAUUUUCUAACCAGAGAAUAUUUGCAGGAAUGACCAGUAGAUGCCGUGGUCGCGGUCAACGAGGCCGAGGCAGAGGUAAUCUGUAAUUUGUAUUAUACAGAAUUUCCCAGUUUGAACACUCAAUCCAAUAAUUCUUCGGCUUCUUCCAGCUAGCCAAUAGUAAAGGAUGUUCUUUUAUUACCAGAACAGUAUAUCCCCAACAAAUAUGUGGAAGAAACAGUAUUGAUCAUUGAACCAAAUGAUGAGAAAUGGAUGAAAGAUCCAUGGAAAAUCAAGAGGCGUUAUUUAACGACUCAACCAUUUCCUCCUCAUUUUAACCAGUAUCGAUAUGUUUAUGAACAAAUUAUCAUUGAAAGAACAUCAAUGGACAUCAAGCACACGCUUCAUGAUCCUACAAAACUAACCAGUCCAAUCCAAUAGAGUAAAACAACAAUCAAUAGCAUUAUGCCUCUUGCUAAUUGGGGUAAUACUACCCGUACUGUUGAAACCAGUCAUAACGAAACAAAAUACAACUAUUGGGAUUAUAUUAAUUCCUUUAUGCAGGUAUUCUACUAUCAGAAUCCCUUUCAUAACCAUAAUUGGUUUAUCCGUAUAAGUCCCGAUGUUCUUAAAAACGAAAUCCCAAACUGGUUUUUCGUUUGGUGGGAUAAAUUCAGUAUUACUAUUGAAACUUUACCAGAAUCAGUCCAAACAACAUUUAAGGAGUGGCAAGUUGCUUAUGCCCAUAUACCAGUAAACAAAGAUUUAUCUAUGCUUAAAUUACUUGCUCAUUUCAUAAUCCGUUUUGGAAUCCCCUAGAUAUGGAAAUGGGACUUUCAAUGUGACUAUCAGAAUAAGACCCCCCCCCCCCGCCUUAAAAGAGUACUUCUUACUAAAUGGUGGGAUAAAGGGCUCAAUCCUACAUUACCAGAACUUCUUAAGGCCAUUAAGAAUCAUACUCAGGCCUACCUGGAUGCUAUACAUAAGAGCCUUCCAGCUCAACCAGUAAAUCCAUUUGUCAAAAUACAAACAAAUGUAAAACAGAAGUUUCCGAAUUUAACUAAAACUGAAUUGAUUGUUAAGACUAUGGAUUAUAUGAAAAAUCAAUUCUUACCAUCCUUAGUCUAGGAUGAUAGUUCCAUGAAAGUUGUUAGCAGUAAUGAAGGAUCUGACCAGGAUGACAAUGGGUUCUACAUCUUAGCUGGAGAAAGCCAAGAACCAGAACCCAGUAUGGGAGAUUUUUGGGAUUCUAUCACCUCCAUGAUUUUCGAAAUGAUCGAGCAAGACAAAAAAGGAAAUGGAAAAUCUUAAAGAUAUUCUCCACUACAGAAAAGAUGCUCAAUAAUCAGAAGACGACAAUCAGUUGUCUCCAAUUAUCAGAAGAUGACACCAGCUAUCCUCAAUAAUUCUCCACUCAACCGACAUCUCUUGUCAUCCCACUUCCUAUGGCUGAGAUUUAAAGAAGAAAGAUAAGGAUUGACACACGACUCUGGGGUAAUAAUACCUACUAGGUCCAGAUAAAGCCAUUCAAUUUAUUGGUUUUUGACUGUAAGUGGUUUUAUUAAUAUGUUACAUCUCCUGAAAAUUAUUUUGUAUUUUCAAAAUAUGAACAGGAGAAAUAUUAUCAGUUUCAUCUUCAUCAUCAUCAGUAUUAUUAUUACUGGUAUGUGAAGAGGGUUGCCCAAACAUCAUAUUUAUCCGAGAGGUAGAAGCAGUUGUAGUUUUUAAAUCUUUUAUUUUAUUUAAAAGAUUUUCAAUAAACUCAUCAUCAGCUUUAGAAGAUUUCAUCUUAAAAUUACUAACUUCUAAAGGUGGUUUAAUGGUUAAAGGUUGGAGAUCAAUCUUUUUUGGAACAACUUGACAUUUAUCAUUAAUAUGAUUAAUUUGUUUUUCUAUUCUGGUUAACUGUUUUCCUACUGUUUGAAGGAAUAAAUUAGUAUAAUUAUUCUGUUUAGACAAAGGCAAAAUAUCUUUUAUUUUUACCUCUUCAUGUUGAUGGGGUAUUUCAGAUAUAUCAACAUACGGAUUGAUAAUUAAAAGUUUUAAAUUUUCAUUCCCAGAACUAAGUUCAAGGGACUUAGGAGGGGAUGAAUUGAUUGUAAACACAUUCAGUUGACUUUCUGUGUAAAAUUCUGAUUUUAAAACAAAAUUAUAAUAUCAUUCAGUGAAUGAUAUUAUACACUGAUUGUUAUUUAAAUAAGCAUAAUAAUUAACUUUUAUUUCUACUAAUUUAUCAUUAUCAUGAUUUUUAAAUUACCAAUUUCUAAAAUUCUGGUAUUUAUCCUGCAUGAACUCCAUGUUUAAACAUCGACGAAUUUUACUAUUAGGAGAAAAAUUCAUUUAACACUCAAAAUGCAUGUCUCUAGCAGUUGGACUAUAAGGUCCUCUGUUUUGAGGAAUAUUUGUUUCAUAAAUACCAUGAGGUAUUUGAUUUUCAGAAAUAUGUAUUCAUUUUAUUAAGUUUUCAUUUUUAACAGACUCAUUACUGGAUUAUUUAGACUCUUGAUAUAUAGAUUCUAAAGGUUCAGACACAUACUGUCUAGAUGAUUCAGGAAAAUCAAUAUUAUAAGAGAUAUUGUUAAUAGAUCGACUUCGGGUAAAAGGUCUAAAAUUUUAAAUAAACAUUUCCAUUACUGGUUUGGACAACAUCCUCAGUGGAUUGUCUAAUUAUAGGUCUGGUAGAAACGACAUUAGUAAUCUGCCACUGUUUCGGAAAAGUAAUUUAUUCCCAAGGGAUCAUUCUGGGAAUUGUCACUUGACUACUAAAAAGAUUAGUGUCAAUAAGGACAGUAUGUCCUUGUUGGCUUUGUUUUCGGAUAUAAGGGUUUAAAGUAUUCAAAACUGUAAGAUGAAUACGGAAUAAUAUGGCAAAAGGAGGAGAUCCAGGUAGAUAUUCAUAACCAUGAGAUAUAAUUCUCAUUUCUAAAAUUUUUGACAAAUUAUUAUCAGUUAAGGCAACACUUAAAUUCGGAUAAAUAUUAAAAUAUACUGGUCCAUGAGCAAGGCUGAUUUCAAUAGCACCCAUAAGAGAGGCUUUCCAGUUUAAACACCUUCCAUCUCUAAGUGUUCAUUGAAUACUGGUAUUUUGACAAAGUAAAGUUAACGGUUUGAAAGCAACUUGGACAAGUCCUAUAUAAACAUAUUUAUAUUUUUGCAAAAAAGGGUUUAAAUCUUCAACAUGCAAUAAAUAUAAAAUUUCAUCAUUAUUCUGUAAAGGAACAACAUGUUCAAAGGUUUUAAUAAUCCUUUUACUGAUAAAAUCAAAGGUUCCAAUUUUAUAAAUUGUUUCUGGUUUGAUUUUAGGAAUGAUCUAUUUAUCUAGGGCUUCCUUAACAUCCUGAUAGGCAAUAAGUUCAGUUGCUUCCAAAGUAGAAACUGAGGCAUUAGUUACAGUUGUAACAGAUGAGGGUGAAAAAUCAGUCAUUUUUAUAGGUGAUCAUAUAUGCAUAAUUUAUAUGUAAUAUAUUCAUCAAUAUGACAAUAAACUAAACAUGGCUCUUAUACCAAAUAAGGACAGUAUCGGGGAUAGGAUUGAUCAAGCACGUUUGUCAACGAUUUACAAAGGAUAAAAGCCACAACGCCAAAAUAAAGCUAAAGGCAAAGUCCUAAACGCGACUUGGGUGACGUUCCACUUGAUCAAGCAUUAACCCAAUACUCUCUUUAUUUAAUAAAAUGGCAUAAAUAUUUUAAAGGCAUAUUAAAUAUAUACUAACAUAUAAAUUAUCACAUGUAUGAUCUCAUAAGAUUACUGUUGAUUAGGGGGUCUAUCCAAGACUAUAAGUCGACAAGUUUCUUCUUGUAUGGCGUUCUUAAUUAAAACAAUUAAUUGUUCUGAUUUAUUAAACUGUUUUGAAAAAUAAGAACGAUUAUGGUUGUAUGUAGUAGUCUGAUAGGCUGUUCUAUAAUGAUUAUUAUUUUCUAUAUGAUAAUCUAAAAGAUUAAGCAAAGAAACAUAAUAAUUAACAGAAGCAAUAAUUAAAACUUACAGAUGAGCUUUGAAGAUAUCUUUAAACUUCAAACUUCAAACUUUUAUAUAUUAAAUCUAAAAGAUCAAGCAAAGAAAAUUCGGUAAAGAAUUUUGGUUUCCUUUGAUAUAUUCAAUAUCAAAGUCAAAUACGGAUAAAGUACUUUGCCAAGUAGCAAAUAUAUGUGUAGAUGCUAAAUUUUGAACAUCUUUUUUAAAUAUCUGUUUUGCAGCUGAACAAUCAACUCGGAUUAAAAAGUGCUGAUUUAAAAUAUCAUCCUAAAAUUUUAAAACGCACUUAACAAUUGAAAGACACUCUUUCUUUAUUGUAGGAUAGUUUAAAGAAGGUCCUUUCCAGACUCCUGAAGUGAAACGAAUAAGAUCCUCUUUUUUUCUUUUUAGGAUUGAAUUGUUUUAGGAUUUCACCAUAUCUUGUAUUAGAGGCAUCAGUUUGAACGAUCUUCUUCCAUUUAGGAUUAGGUAGGUAGAGCUAAACAAGGUAGCUGUUUGACCUUGGUUUUAAUUUUUUUAACUGCUUCAGUAUGCUCAGUAGUCCAAGGUGAAAGAUUUUUUCGAAGCCGAGUAUACAAUAUGGAAGCAUCCUGGGAAAGAUUCAGAAAAUAUUCUCGAAUGUAAUUUAGGCUUCCUAGAAAUCUUUGCAGUUGAUUAAUAUCUUUGAUUUCAUCCGAAAAUUUAGAUGCAAAUUCAAUACAUCUGUCAAUUGGAAUAAUAGUUCCAUUGGAUAUAUUAUGUCCAAGAAAUCUGAUUUUUGUUUAGAAAAGUUUCAUUUUAGGGGCAGAAACUACCAAAUCAUUUUUUAUGAUAACAUUUUAAAAAAUAUUUAAAUGUUUAAUAUGUUGGUCAAUAAAUGAAGAGAAAAGUAAGACAUCAUCAAUAUAGCAGAUAAUGAAUUCAAUAUAAGGAUUAAAAAUAUCAUUCAUGAUAUGCUAGAAUUCAGAAGGUCCAUUUUUUACUCCAAAUGGAAGAACAUUCCAUUCAUAAUGGCCAAAAGGUACUGUAAAAGCAGUUUUAUAAGUAUCAUGUUCUCUAAUUUGGAUUUUCCAAAAUUUUGAUUUUAUAACAAAUUUAGAAAAAAUGGUGGCAUCAUGAAGCCUGUCAAGAAGAUCCUUUUUAUUAGGGAUCGGAUAUCUUAUCCAUUGAAGGACUUCAUUAAGCGGUUUAUAAUUGAUAACGAGUCUGGAUGUUCCUCGCUCAAUUUCUGAAUUUUUAUUAACAUAAAAUGUUGUACAACUCCAUGGAGAUGUGCUAAGUUUUAUUAAUUUUUUCUGUUUAAGAGACUCAAUUUCAGUUUUACAUAUAAUUAAAUAUUCCUUCUUCAUCUGACUAGGUCGAGAUUUAGUAGGAAUAUUUUUCUCGUUGAAAUUUGGGAUAUAAAGAAGAGAGAUAAUAUGCUUCUUCCUAUUCCAAAAUGCAUUAGGGACAUCAAAUUUCAAAUUGAAGAGUCUUGUGAAUUAAUCUUAUCUUCUCCUGUAAAGAAGGCUGUAAAAUUCUAUGUUUUGUAGUAAGAAAUUUUAUUUCUUUUUGAAUAAAAUUAAUCUUUUUUUCUUUAUAAUAAAUCAUGUGUUUAACUUGAUUUAAUUCUUUUGUAUAAGGUUCUGUUAUAAAUUCAAAUACAAUAUGUUUGUUGUUAAGAGUAGUAUGAAUACCAAAGUAUCAAUUUUUGAAAUAGGCAUUAGAAGACACAAAAAAGGGGUGCCUAAGAUGAUACUUUGAUUCAUAUUACGGUUAAGAACAAAAGAAGUAGGUAAGCAUAAACCUUGAUUACAGAUUAAAGUUUCAGGAAUUUUAUAUUUAAUACUCAUGGUAUUACCGCUUGCACUAGUUAAAGAUUGAGUGGUUUUCUGAAAGUAUUUGGUAGGAAUUAAUCGUUCCUGGAUACAGUUCAUGUCAGCACCACUAUCUACUAGAGCAAUGACAUCUUUAAUAAUAAAAUCCAGUUUAAUAAUAAAAGUAAUUCUGAUAUACCACUUCUGAAAAAUAUUAUUUAAAUCAUUUUGCUUAUGAUUUAGCUGAUGUUUAAUAUUAUUUAAAUCCUAAAAGAUGAUAACAUUAGUAUUUUGUGACUAUUUUAUUUCUGAUUUUAAAAUAUUUAUUUCACUUUUAAGAUCCUGAAAGCGGUAGAAACAUUUUGCAUACGUUUCAUAACUUCCCACAUGUUAUAUUGAUCGAUGGGAAGUAUAUCUUUAGUUUUGCAAAAAUUUUAAUUUAGUUUCUGGAUCUUUAAUUUGAUCGGCCAAGUCGAGGAAUGAUUUUUGAGUGUCAGUUAAGAUAUUGAUACUGGGUCCUCUAAUAUCUAAACCAUUCAUCUCGACGAUAGCUUUCAUUAUACAAGUUUGACAUUAUUCAUCACCAGAAUCAUUGCCAGAUUCAGAAUAGAUUUCUGCUAAAUCAUCAUCUAAAUUUGGUUCUGGAUUACUGCUAGAUAAACAAUUUAGAAUUUGUUGUUGAAUGUCCUCAUCAAGGGACAUUUUAUUAAGUUUCUGUUUUAUUUUUGAUUUGCAUUUAUUAGCAAAGUGUCCCGUUUUACCACAUUAUAACAUUUUAUUUUAGAUUUAUCCUUUUUACUACUGCUCUUCUUCUUCUUAGUAGAUUUUUCUGGGGUUUUGUUAUUAUAAGAUUUUUUAGAAGAACGUCUUCGGUAAGAUUUAGAGUUUUUAGAAUUCUGUUAUUUUUUAGCCUUUGAGGAUAUUGUAAUUUUGUGUCAUAAGAGAAUUGAUCACAAAAUUCUCCUAUCUCUUGUCUUUUGGUGAGAUUCUGUUUUUUCAUUAAUUGUUGAAUCUUCAUAUCAUUGCAUAAUGAUAAUCCUUCUUCAAUAAUUAUUGAAAUAAGAUGACCAUACGAAUAUUGGUCAUAUGGAAUACUCAUUCGGUCAUGUUUAUCUCCUAAUUUUUUAUGGAUUUUUUCAGCAAAGAAAGUAGGAAGUCCAUCAAUAAACUUGGCUUUCCAAGAAUUUGGUCUUUGCAUUACUUUCAUUAAAAAGACAUCCUUAUACCAUCUAAAAUGGGUCAAGGAUGGACAACGAAGAUUCUGUAAGAGUUCUCUACUCCUAUCAGUAUUCAUAAGUUCUGGUCCAACAAAGAAUGACUGCUUGAACAAGAGUAUAACAAGCAUCUUCUCUUUUUGUUUCAAUUUUAGUAAUAGGAUCUGUUUCAUUCUUAUAGGAUUGAUGAAUUUCAGUUCUUUGUUUAUCAGUAAGUGCAUUAUCCCACCAUCCUUUAAGAAUGCUGAUAAAUCCAUUUACUAAAAAAUGACAGAUUUGAUGGUCUGUAUUAUCAUUUUGUUUACAGACUGUUGCAUACAUCAUGAUAUGAUGUAUGGUUUCAUAAAUUUGAUAUUCUGUCUUACCAUCAAUAUUCCAUUCAUAAAUGGUUUUACCAUGGUAAGAUUUCUGAAAAUGAAGAAAAUCUUUUUCAUACAAAAUAAUAGAACUAAUAACUAUAAUACUAAUAAUGAUAAUAAUAAUAAUAGUAAUAGUAAUAACAAUAAUAAUAAUAAUAAUAAUAAUAAUAAUAAUAAUUAAUAAUAGUAAUAAUAAUAGUAGUUAUAAUAAUUAUUAUAAUACUAGUAAUAGUAACAGUAAUAAUAAUAAUAAUAAUAAUAAUAAUAAUAAUAAUAAUAAAAAUAAUAAUAUUAAUCAUAAUUAUAAUUGAAAUUUAACUAGGCACACUUAGAAGGGGGAGUUGAAUAAGUGUGGGAGCAAUCUAUGACCAAUUUUUAAACUUUAGAUCAAGCUAUUAAAUUCAAGCUACUAUAUUGAUUAAUUCAGUUUGCUGAAUUAAUAUAGUCUACUGAAUUGAUUAUAUAUCAUGCUGAAUUUAUAACUUAACUAAAUUACUUGGUGUUAAAGAAUUAUCUUAACAUAAUGCAAAUAUUCAAAUUUUAAUUAUUAAGAUAAUUAAAUGGCUUACGUGAGUGAUUAAAGUAAAGCAAGUAGUAAUAUCAACACCAAGAUUUUUUACGUGGUUCAGCUAUUACCCUCUAUAAUAAUAGCCUAGUCCACGUCCAAUACCAACUAGUAUUGGAGACUCACUUUAUUUAUAUCUUUAUAAAUAAACACCGAUUACAAAACAAAUUCUUACAAAAAUUAAUUAACAAUUAAUUUCUCUUGAGCACUAUUGCUCCUUGUGCACUUAUGCACUCUUCAAGCACCUUUAUUUCCUUAAACCUGUUUGUAAACCUUUUCUCUAAUCCACUAGGAUUAACACCUUUAGACUACACUUAGUCUAAAACAGAAAUUUCAAUACAGAUAUAGAGGUCUAUGAUCAAUGCAUGAAUAAUCAAUUUAACAAUUAAAGGCUCAACUAUAUACAAUGAUCGAUUAGCACACAAAGAUAAACAAUUAAUUUCUUACCAAAUACCAGCUCAAAGAUAUCAGAAAUUUAAUUGCAUAGCUGCUCAAACGUUUGCACCACUAAAAUAACGUUGCUCGAUAUAUCAGUAAUUAGUGCAAUAUUAAAUUCGUGAGUUGUUUUUAUUCUGUACACAAGAAGCAUUAUUUAUAGCCCAUAAUCAAGUUACCAUUAUUUCCAAAUAAAUCUGUUCCAAUAAUCUACAAAAUAACCGGCUUGAUAAUAUGUAGAUAUCUCACAACAGUAAAGAAGUAUAUCUUUACUAUUUAUCCAGUUUAACAACUCCAACCUUGUUAGUGUAGGGAUAAAUAUGAAAGUACUCUAAAGAUAAUCCACUUUUCAAACCAACUCUGACUUUGUCUCUAUAUUUAAAAGUGACGUGUAGCAACAAAAGUGGAGUGUCCUUUAUCUUUCCAAUAACAUAUUAAAGUCCCAAGACUUAUAAUUAUUAUCCUUGAAAAUCGAACUUGCAUAAUGCUAUCGCCCUUAUAGCUUUCUAGAUAUGUAUAAUACAUGGAUAUCCACUUGUAGCAAAAAGAAUCUCAAGAAUAUCAAGUACACACUUAUAUAAGAAUGUACACGUAACAUAUGUCAAAUAAAAUAUUAAUUCUUUUUGUACCAGUGACAUAUUUAAUAUUUAGAAAACCUUUUCCAUUUAGAUUUAUUUAAACAUUUUUCAUUUUAGACAUAUAACAAGAUGCAAAUAAUAUGUCCUAGAGCCUUUAAAUGAAAAAUCAAGUAUUAUGCAAUUAACCUUACAUUUGAUUUUCCUAGUAAAGAGAAAUUCUUCACCCACUUGAAUAUUCCUUAUCAUUAGAUACCUGAAAUGCCAUAAAACAAUUUAGCAUACGAAUAAUUCAUCAUCAAAACUUAAGGAUAAAAUAUGAUUAGGUCGACAUUCUCCCCCUUUUUGACGAUGACAACUAAAAGCCUUUUAAUUCCCAUUAACUCCCCCUAUGUUCAUGCAUAUCAUAUAAUUAGCUACCCCUAAAUUCACGCAUCAAUAUCAUUUCAGGAAUCUCAUAAUAACUAACUGAAAUUCAAAUUUGAUUUCAGUAAACUAAAAUUUUAAACAACCCUAUUAUCUUGGCAUGUACCUGCAAUCAUGUUAGUUCAACAUAUAUUAUCAAAUAUAUCAAAUAUAUCAAAUUGCUAAUCAUAUCAAUUAAAACUUUAAACAAAAGUAUGGUGAAUCAAAAGUCUGGUGAAUCACAAAUUCAAUCUUUUCAGUCUUAAAAUAAACCCCAAAUUUCUCCCCCUUUGUCAUCAAACAAAAAGAGAAAGAUCCAUUAAUCGAGUUCUACCACUGCUACUCGCUGUUCAUCCCUCUUGGUGAAGUAUGGGUGAUGAUUGGCACGGUGAAUUCUUUCAGCGAGGGUAAAAUCAGUAGCAAAAUGAGGAGGACGGGGAAUGAAAGUUUCUGGUGGUAACGGCACGUCAAGGAAUUCACCAAUGUACUCAGCGAGCCAGUUACAAUGAACCCAUUCUGUAACCGUAGAAUGUUUACGCUGCAUAUGUAGCUUAAAGCCUACAUCAUUGAAACGCGUAGAAACGAACUCAGCCAAUUCUCCUACCUGAUUACUGACAAACAUGAUCUCCUGACUUAAUUGACAGGGAUUCCGAUUAAGCCUUCACUGCAUAAUCUCUCCCAAAGCAGUAGUUUGCAGUUCAAAACCUACAUGUAAGUCAAUAAACUCAUCUUCAAGAUUGUUAUACAUUUUGUUAAUCUCGGGAGCUCCCAAAGGCAAUUUGCCUUUCUCCAACAUAGACAUACGAGUGUUAAGGCCAGACAUUUCAGCUUGCAUUUUUUCUUGAUUACUAAGCACCAGUUUCAACAUGUCAAUAAUUUCAGAAGAAGAUUGAGUGGGGGGCUGAACAGGAGAAGAUGGAAUUGAGAUUGGAGGAGCAGGAUUCUCAGAAUUAACACGAACAAACAUACCAUCAAGUAAAAUAAUACGCGACAUUUUCAGGGACCCAACACUGAUGGAAUCAGUAAUAGAAACAGAAUUUUCAUUUUCAAAACAAACUUUAAAAUGUUUGAACAGAGUAGUGAGAGUAGCACUGUAAGGCAAACAAGUCUUGAUUUUUCGCAAACAUGUGGUCAUGUGAUGAAGCAUCAUUUGAGACAAGUUAAAAGAAACACCUCUUCAAAUCAUGGCAACAAAUAUCAAGUCUUGAUAGGUAAAAUCUGCUCCUCCACCUAAACGAGGCAACAGAUUGUAUCUAACAAGAUGAUGGAGGACACAAGAAAUAGGAGAGACAUCCACUGUUUAGGAGUAAAAACAUCAUUUAAUAAAUUGUUGUUCAUCACAAUUUCUAACUGUUCCAGAGGAGUAAAUGGAAAACGAACAGCUCCUUUUUUUGUAAAAGGACACACACCAGAAGAUGAAAUAUUCAAAAUACUACCAAAAUCCACGACUGUAAAAUAUAACGAUUUUCCUUUGACAAGAGUGGUAUAAAAAUCACCAUGACAUUCUAGAUUUGUGUAAAAUUGUUGGACAAGUCUAGGGUAUGCCACAGAUGGAGGAAAAAGCAUUGAAGAAAUACCACAAGAAUCAAACAAUGUUUUCAAAGGAGAUUGUUGAUAACAGAUUUGAUCGACUGACUUUUCAUAGACAAAUUGUUUAAGAAAAACAACGGUCUUAAACCGUACUUCAUAUGUAUUGCUACGAAAGAAAUUGUCAGGAAGAUCUGAAGAAAGGAUAGGAUUUACCGAAUCAGAUGGUGGAGCAAAUUAACUCAGGUUUACAGGAUGGGUUUGUUGACUGUCGUCGCCGAGAGGGUCCAGAUGAUUUCGCCAAGGGAGGGCUGAAAGUUGAUUCGUCAGAAGACAAAGAGUCCACACAGUCAGUUUCUUCAGACAUGACUUUCUUCAUUUUUCUUUGCUUUUGAGAAGGUCCGGCAGUCGAUUGAGGAGGGACCGUCGUCAGAAUCGAUCAAUGAUCUCUUAUGUGUUCUGGUUCUCAUAGUGCUUGAGGUUUAUUAUUGAGGAAGAUGAACGUAUAGAGUAUGAGAGAAAUGAAGUCAGAAACAGAUUUGAGAUGUAAGGAUAAUGGAGAGAGAGACAGAAAGUUUUAUAAAAGGACGAAUGCAAGUACAUUGUACACUCCUACACGUUUACGUCUUUCAACAAAUCUCACCCAUUAUGUCUUUUCGAUUUUCAAAAUCAUUAUGAGAGGCGCCUAGAAUCUUGUGUCCAUGAUUUAAGCAGCCGAAAAGUUAAAACCAUAAUUAGAUGAGAGAGAUAAAAUAUUCAAUGCAUGUAUCCCUACACGCCUACGUCUCUCAAGAGACUCAACCGACUUGUCUUUUCGAAUUUUGAAGAAUCAUCAUGGCAAAUAUUUGGAAUACCGUGUCCACGAUUUAAGGACAUUUAAUGGGCAGCUGAAAACUCAUAAUACCGAAUAUCCUAGAUUUUAGCAGUUAUUAAGAUAUGCAUGCAUAAUAGGAUAACAUAACGAUAAUGUAAAUUAAAAACAUUUAAGCGAUACACAUCCCAAGUUCUCUUCGCAACAUGCAAAAUCUAUCUUUACUUAAUGGUUUUGUAAAAAUAUCUGCAAUUUGAUUUUCAGUAGGAAUAAAAUUUAAUUUAAUAAAACCUUUUGACACAUUAUCACGUAAAAAUGAUGUCUCACUUCAAUGUGUUUUGUACAUGAGUGUAGCACAGGAUUUUUGGAUAUAUAUAUAUAGCACUAGAAUUAUCACAAUAGAUAGGCACACAAGCACAUAAUAUGUCAAAAUCACAUAGAGUUUGUCUCAUCCAUAAAAUCUGUGAACAACAACUUCCUGCAGCUAGGUAUUCACUCUCAGUAGUUGAGAGAGCCACUGAGGUUUGCUUUUUACUAUGCCAUGACACGAGACUUUGUCCCAAGAAAGUACAUGCACCACUCGUACUUUUUCUAUCAAUUUGACAUCCUGCAUAGUCAGCAUCUGAAUAACCUAUUAAUUCAAAGUGAUUGGAAAUUGGAUAAAAUAACCCUAAGUUAAUAGUACCACUUAAAUAUUUCAAAAUUAUUUUAACAGCAUUUAAGUGUGAUUCUUUGGGUUUAGCCUGAAAUCUUGCACAUAGACAAACACUAUACAUUAUAUCGGGUCUAGAGGCAGUUAAGUAUAGUAAGCAUCCAAUCAUACCUCGAUAUUUUGUUAUAUCAACAUCUAUACCUUUCUCAUCAGUGGUGAGCUUUAUUGAUGUGCUCAUUGGUGUACCUUUCGAGUUAGAUCCUUCAAAGCCAAAUCUCUUGAGUAGUUCUUUUGUGUAUUUGGUUUGAUGGAUAUAAAUUCCUUCCUUUGUUUGCUUGAUUUGUAGUCCCAAGAAGUAAUUAAGCUCUCCCAUUAAGCUCAUGUCAAAUUCUUUAUGCAUGCACUUGAAAAACCACUCACAAAGAAAAUCAUUAGUAGCACCAAAUAUUAUAUCUACAUAUAUUUGAACAAUAAUGAUAUCGAUAUUUUUAUGCUUAAUAAACAAUGUAGAAUCUAUUUUUCCUCUAACAAAUCUAUUUGAUAAGAGAUACUUACUUGACCUUUCGUACCAAGCCCUUGGAGCUUGUUUCUGUGACGCCCCCAAAUCCGGGUACUUGAAACCCAAACUCGGUGCUUCACGAUACCAUUCUAUAAACUGACUAAUACUAAUAAUAAUAACAAUAAAAUAAAAUUCAAACUUAAUUUACAUAUGCAUCAAAGUUUAUCUCCCUAGGUACGAGACCUUAAAGUACAUUCCUUAUAAUACAUGAUAUUAUUAUAUAUAUAUAUAUAUCAUUGUCUUAAUAAUAUAAAACUAUUACAGCAACUACCACAAAUCUUAUUCAAUUAGCUUUCCUUUUCCUUUGUUUCUGCUUGAGCUUUCUGGUUCUUCAAACUUAACUGAAAACAUUUAAAUUAAGCAAGGAUGAGCAUUUGAGUGCCCAACAAGUAAUAGCAAUUAUAUGUAUAUAAGCUGAAAGAAUUUAAGUAUUUUCUUUAUAUAACUCUUCUACAACGAAUCAAAAGUUGUGAAAUAAUCUGAACCGAUAAUAAUAACAUAAAAACCCUCUUUCAAAUUUUUGAAACUACGUACUGGCUAUAAAUGGGGUUUAAGUGACAUACUAUGAACAUUGUUUUCAUUUUCGAAAUGGUUUAGCAGAACUUCAUCCGCAUACCGUCAUAACUUACGGACAUGGGGGUGAUCAGCCCGUUGUGCCCUGUAAUUAUCAACACUACAUUACAAGAACGAUGUUAUCGUUCACUCUGUCCGCCUUGGGCGCAUAAAAGUUUUCCCAUAUUCGGGAUGUUCAUACUUAGUCUUGAGUCCAAACCAAAGAAAUUUGAUUGGAUACAAAAAGGUUUUAUCUUGUUCAACAAUAAUCUAUAAUUCAACAUAUACGUAUACGGGUAAUUGACAAAGGUGUAUCAACAUGUGAAUGAAUACCAUGAUUAUCCAAGUGGGGACACUUGUAUAACCAUUUAUAGAAAUUAACGAACAGAAUAUAUAUCUGAACUAAAAUUUUGAUAAUCAAUGAGCGUAUAUAAUCUGUACAGGAAUAAUAUAAUUCUGAAACAUUCUUACUCAUGUCCAUUGCAUAAAGAAAAUGCAAAGAUAGGAUACUUGCCUGAUACGCUGCUUACAGAAUGCAACUUAGUUUUAUCUUUUAUAUAAUCACCUAUCAGUAGUAAGAUCAUUUACUGAUUAGAAUAAAAUAUUACAACACAUAAUACUGCCUAUUGCAGUCAACACAUAACCUAAUCACAUUAUCACACAUAUCUAACAGUCAUUACAUCAUAAACAAACAAUAACACAUUCAAAAUAUCUAAGUCUAUAUUAAUUUCUGAAAAUUGUCGGUGUAUCGAUAGCUUUAUCGGGUAAUUAUCAAGUCUAAGACUCUAUUCUGUAUCUCAACAUCCUUAAGUAUCAGUCAUAUUAUUUUAAAUGACUUAGUAAACAUUUAUAAUAAUUUAUCAUGAAUUUUUGAAUAUCGGAAUUAUAAUUAAAUGAUUUAAAUAUCAAACAAUUCUAUUAUCAUUAAUAUUCAAUUAAUAUUAAACUAUUAAUGAAACCAUUACCAAAAUAUCAAAGUUAUUUACAAUAACUUAAAAUAUUUUUAAUUUAUUUAUAUCCUUUUUAAAUGAUUUUUAAGUAAAUAAAACCAUUUUAAACUAUAUAUUUAAUGUAAUUAUUAAAUAAAUAAAAUAUCCUUAAUAUUACAUUAUUAUCAUUAAUAUUGAUUUAUUAAUGAAAUUAUCCUUUAAAUAUUAAAAAUUAUAUUUUAUAACUUAAAAUAUUUUUUAAACACUUUAUUUUCAUUUAAAAUGAUUUUUAAAAUAAUAAAAUCAUUUUUAAACUAAAUUAUUUAAUAUAAUCAUUAAAUAAAUUUAAUAUCAUUAAUAAUAAUUAAUUAAUAAAAUUCAUCACAAAAUACUAAAAGUCAUGGAAAAUAACUUCAAAUAUUUUCUUAUACCAUAAUAUAAUUUUAAAUGAUUUUUCAUGUAGUAAAAUCAUUUUUAAAUAAUUUAUUUAAUAUUAUAAUUAAAUAAAUUAAAUAAUUUUAAUAUUCCAAAAUAUUAAAUAUUUAUGAAAUAUAUUCAAAAUAAUUAAAAUAUAAUUUUUGGACAUUAAAAUAAUUUUUAAUAAUUAAUAAUGUAUUUUUAAUAAUUUAAAUCUAAUUUUCUGUAAUUGUUUAAUUAAAAUAAUUAAUUUUAUAAAUAAACUAUCGCUAAAGGCUGCCUAUAGCGACGUAACUGUCGCUAUAGGUGUUCUUCAUCAAAACCCGGAAAUCAAGUCAGUUAUCGAGUGACCCAUUUUGACCAAGAAUUGUGAUCAAAUAAUGAUGUUUAUGGACUAUAAAUUUACCUAAUAUUGUAUUACUUAUGUAGUACUACAAUUAUAAACAGAUUUCAUGGCCAUAUCAUCACAUAAUAGGAAGAUCUAAUCUACAGAAGUUGAUGUCAGACAUGAUCUUGAGUUUCUAGGUUGCCCAGAAACUCGAUCAGUGGCGAGGGUAAUAUUUUGAGGCUUCACUACAUGCUAUCCUUUUAAUCGUUUUAUGAUCUAAUUGCUGCAGUAUGUAGAUAACAUGUAGGACUACAGAUAUAUCACAUAAAAGAACAAUAACAACAAAUAAUAAAGCAGAUAAUGUUUAGUCAAACGGUAGUCAGAACAAUGUUCUUGAAGUUUUUUGGAAUUUCCAGAAAACGAAACUGUGAACUUCUGCACCACUUUGACCAGCCACUACGAUCAAAUAGUUCAAUCGUAAGGAGAUUUUAAGGCAUAAUCAUGUAUUACUAAUACCAAGCUACAACUUAGACACAAUAAACAAACCAAAUAAUCAACACACUGACAGAUCUAGACGCUGGAAUACACUGUCAGACGCUUGUUCAUGCAUUCUGGGUUACCCAGAAAUGGCCCGGUCAAUUCCGGUCAACGGACUUUGACCGUUAAUAACUACCAAUCUAUACAUCAAUUGACUCUGAUUCUUUUUGUAGAUUAAAUAAAACAUGACAGACUACACAUAACAAGCUUUAAACAUCAAAAACACUUAACAGGCUGAGAUCUACAGUCUCUGACAUUCGUUGUCAGAACACAAAAAUGAAAUUUCCAUAUUUUUGAAAAACAUGAUUUUGAGCAUUUUGAUGUUAUGGAUCUAAUAAAUACCAACCCAGAUCAUCAAAAUGGACUAUAGUCAACAUGUUUUAACAAUAAAAAUUAACAUCUAACAUCAAAUUAUAGAAUUUUUAGGUUAGAGCUUUUAUACCUUUUCUAUGAACAAUUUCUUGAAUCUUUGCUCCUGAUUUGUUAUGGGAUUUCAUGGGGCUGUGUUUAGGACUGAUAUAGCAAGAGGAUUUCGUAGGGUUGGGUUUGAGAGAAUAAAGCUAAGUGUUGGUUGCACAAUUAAGCCAAAAUGGACACUUUCUCUCUCUUUAAUUAUGAAAUGAAAUGAUUCCAUGUGCUUGUAACAGCUGAUCAUUGAUGGGUAAUGUUAUAGUGCCAUAGGUGAAUUCUAGAAUAAAGUUAGAUGGCCAGAUUUUGCAAGAUUGCUAGCAGUAAUACACUAAUAAUUCAUUAAUGGGACAAAAAAGGGUAAAAUAGUAAUUUCACUUGUAAUUUCAAGGGCAUUCUUGUCCAAGGUGAUUAAAUCUAGGGUUUAAUCACUAGAUUGUAAAUCUUACAAUUACCCAAAUAAUUUCUAGGGUUUGACAAUUUAAAAUAAAUAAUGUAAUAAAAUGCUAAUUAAGCACACUAAUUUAAAAUUAGGGUUUUUAAUUAGAAAAUUAGGGUUUUUAAAUUAGGGUUCCUUACUAUCAUUAGGGUUCCCAAUUUAACAAUUAGGGUUUCCUAAUUAACAUUUCCAUUUACUAAAAUAAUAAUUAGGGUUUUCAAAUCAAUAAUUAGGGUUUCUCCUAAUUACGGAAAUUCUAAUAUACACAAUAAAAUUCAUAUAACGUAAUUUCUACUCAGUCUUGAACUCACAACUGAGUUUAACAAUUAAGGCUUAAAAAUACGAUAUAAGGGUCAUGAUAUAAAUUUACCAUAAUUAACCAAUCAUUAUCUAGUACAUAUAUAUAGCACUGAAAAUUCAAAAUAUAUAUAAUAUUAUAUUAUUAUUCUCAUCUCUUGAUAAAAAUCCCAAUUUAGGGUUCGGAUUCCAUAUCUGACUUAUCCUUUGUAUACAACAUCAAUAAUCAAGUUAAAAUAAUUAACUUAAUAUUCUGUACAAAUUCAUAUAAUAAAAUAUUUAUUAUUAUAUUUCUAAUUGUCAUUUCAUAUAUUAUUUAAAUAAUAUAGAAAUUAUAUUUUCAUUGAAAAUAAAUAAUAAAAACCUUUCUGCUUACAAAAAUUAAUUACUAUAACAAUAUAAUUUAUAAUAAUUAAUAAUUCUAAAAUUAUUUCUAAUUUUUCAAGUAAUAAAUAUAUUUGCAUUUAUCGUUCACAUUACUUGACACUUAUUCUUAUCAAAAAAAAAUUCAUAUGCAAAAGUUCCUUAUUUAUUUUUAUAGAAAAUAUCGGGUUAUUACAGUUUCAAGCCAUAAAGAGCUUUCUUUAGCUUGUACACAUGAUUAGGAUACUUUUCGUGCUCGAAUCCAGGAGGUUGUUUGACAUAUACUUCUUCAUUGAUGUAUCCAUUAAGGAAUGCGCUUUUUACAUCCAUUUGAUGAAGCUUAAACGUUUUGUAGCAAGCAAAAGCUAACAGAAUUCGGAUUGAUUCCAGCCUUGCUACUGGUGCAUAAGUUUCUUCAUAGUCGAUCCCCUCCUGUUGGUUGUAUCCUUGAGCUACCAACCUUGCUUUGUUACGAAUGAUUGUCUCAUGCUCAUCAAGCUUAUUCUUGAAGACCCAUUUAGUACUAAUGAUGGAAACAUCUUUUGGAGGAGACAUAAGUUCCCACACUUGGCAUCUCUCAAAUUGUUGAAGUUCUUCUUGCAUUGCCAAUAGCCAGUUCUCAUCAAGUAUAGCAUCCUUUGCAUUCUUUGGCUCAACCUGUGACAAAAAUGCAGAGAAUACACAGUGAUUUUGUAAUCCUCUUCGUGUUGUUAUACCUUUAUUGAUAUCUCCAAUGAUAUUUUCUGGAGGAUGAUUCUUGAUGUAUCUAGCUGUUCUUGGCAUUUGGAUAUCAUGCAUAAUUUCCUCUUGAUCAUUAGACUCAUCUUCAGGUUCCUGCAAAUCUUCAGGUUCACGUUCAUGCUGGUCAUUCAUUUCAGUUUGCUGAAUCUGUUUAUUCGAUCUCCUGUUUUGUUCGUUUCGGUUUGCUGAAAUUCUAACUAUCUCCAAAUUUCAUGCAUCAUCUUCACUUUCUUUUUGAAGAUCAUUGUUAGUCUCAUUGAAAGUGAUAUGAACAGAUUCUUCUACACAUGACUUUUUAAUAUUGAAAAUGCGAUAAGCCUUACUAUUUUGAGAAUAACCAAUAAAUAUUCCUUCAUAUGACUUAGCAUCAAAUUUUCCCAAAUUGUCACUUGUAUUUAAAAUGAAGCAUUUAGAACCAAAUAUUUUGAAAUAACUUAUGUUGGGAAUUUUAUUAUUUAAAAGCUCAUAUGGUGUUUUCAAAAUAAUAGGACGAAUGAGUACUCUAUUUAAAACAUAACAAGAUGUACUUACUGCUUCGGCCCAAAAUUUCUUUGGAAGCUUACUUUCUUGUAAUAGAGUUCUAGCUGUCUCUUAUAGAGUCCUAUUUUUCCUUUCCACCACCCCAUUUUGUUGAGGAGUCCUUGGUGCUGAGAAUUCAUGGCUAAUACCUCUUUGAUCACAAAAGGUUAUAAAAUCUUUUUGAAAUUCAAUGACAUGGUCACUUCUAUUUCUAAUGAGUUUGUAACUAUAUUUUGUUUCAAGUUUUCUUAUUAAUCUUUCAAACUCUUUAAAUGCUUCAUCCUUAGUUCUCAAGAAUAAUACCUAUGUGUAUCUAAAAAAAUCAUCAACUAUUACAAAUGCAUAAAAUUUACCAUUAAUACUAGAAUGUCUUUCUGGUCCAAAUAAAUCAAGAUGAAGUAAUUGCAAGGGAGAGGAGGUUGAUACCAUAUUCUUUGCUGUAAAAGAAGUUCUUACUUGUUUUCCCAGUUGACAAGGAAUGUAUAUUCCUUUCUUUUCAAACCUUAUUUUUGGCAGUCCUCUUACAAGAUUUCUUACAAAUAACUUCUUGAUUAGAUCCAUAUAAACAUGUCCCAUCCUCGUAUGCCAUAGAUAAGCCUCAUCUUGUACUAAAGUAAGACAUAGUUCUUCAUUCUGUUGCUCAAAAUCAAUAGUAUAUAUAUUUUCUUCUCUUUGUGCAACUAGAGUAGUAUUGUUAGUACCAUGGAAUAUUGUGCAUUUAUCUUUUUCAAAAUUAACUUGAUGACCAUUAUCCAUUAAUUGACUUAUGCUUAUUGAUAAGUAGGAUUUACACCUACUUAUGGAGUACCAAUUCAUGCGAACUAUGCCCAUCUCAAGUACAUUUUAGUAGGUUUUAGCUGCAUUUCAUGUUAAAUUGCAUUUCGCAUACUUAAAACUCCUUUUGGUGAAUAAGUGCAGGAUUCGGCCUAUUUUGGUGGUGUUAUUGAGCACAAGGCUAAGGGAUGCUUGAGACGAGGCAAAAGAUAGGAUGUGCAUAGCUAGGAUUGAGUGGAGCAUGGAUGGACAAGCAUGGAUAGACAUAGGACAUUUCAGUAGCAGCAGCAACAUUGCAGAACCAAGCUCAGGAGCAAGAUCAGAAGACAACAAAUGCAAUCCGCGCGGCUGCGCGGCAAAGGGAGCUUGGAGGCGCGCGCCCGCGCGAUUACCGAGCCAAACUAGGGAACCUACUGCAAGUUGCGCGGCCGCGAGAAGGACAAGCCUAGGGAGCGCGCGCCCGCGCGAGAGACCGGCUGAACAUACAAACUUACUGCAAGUCUCGCGGCCGCGAGCAUAACAAGCUGGAGGAGCCCGCAGCCGCGUGAGGCCUGAAGCUGCUGACUUGUUUUAUUUUAUUUCCAAUUUUUAAGGUUUGUAAUUUAUUUAAAACGAUUCCUGACUGGUGUCAAGGGUAUCACUUGACAUUUUAUUAAGUUUUUCACUUAUCUUUACAUCGUAACUAGGGUUUACUCUUUGGGAGAGAUUCCAACGUAGAAGGAGGCCACAACUCUACUUUUCUCCUCCUCAUUGGGAUUUUCUACCAGAGUGGAUUAUUAUUAUUAGUUUUGCUGGAUUCUUA